Long non-coding RNA from Gasterosteus aculeatus aculeatus (three-spined stickleback), 2180 nucleotides. The record is from Ensembl. Lineage: Eukaryota; Metazoa; Chordata; Actinopteri; Perciformes; Gasterosteidae.
GUUCGCGGUUCACCGCUUGAGUAACUGAAAGAUUUGGGUGCGUUACAUUUGACGAAGAAGUGCAAGAAGAGCGGCUCAAUGUCAGUAAACUUUAUUGAAUUAGUAAAUAUUACUAUGUCGGUAUAUGCUUAGCAAGCUAGCUAAUUGUUAGCUAAUGUGCACUUUUACACGCUAGCCGUUAGCUAACGAACUCUGUUUGCCUAUGGGUUUUCCCGGGUAGUUCUACGGUACCGCCUGUUAAUGCUUCAGGGAGCUGAUGAAUCUAAGAUGGAUACUUUUGACGAUGCCACUCUAUCGGUGUUGGAGGUGUGAAAAUACCACGGACCAAGAUGCCAACAAUUGUGCCAUGCCACCAUGCCAGCCUCAAACCUCAACCCCCAUAUCUGCUGAGAAAAAAAUGAAAAUGCCAGACCCUCCAGAGUAUGUGGUGUACACAGAUUCAGAGUUAGACAUGGUGCGUAGUCAAUACUUUGCACUGCUCUGCAAUGGAAAGGAAAAAAAUUACAAACUGUCCAAGGAGCUAUGUUGCAGACUUGUAAGGAACACAAUAACCAGUAUGGUUGCUAUCCUGCGUGCUAGUCCCAUGGGGAAAGAAGUCAGUUACCCGUCAAAAUUGGAAAUAAGAGCCAUGUCACAGAAGAUUAUAGACUAUUACCCAAUGUUACGGGAUGAUGAUCCAAACAUGCCUUAUCUGACUAUCUACACCAAAAUGUACAAGCGACUCCAAAAUAUGAGAUCCCCACGGAAGAGGCAAGGCUCUGUACCACAAAGAGGAGUGGCAAAGACAGCUCUCUUCAGUGCAGACAACCAAGACAUGGAGACGGAUUGGACAGACACAAGCAACUCAAGUGAUAAUACCUUACUUCUUGAGAGCAAUGAUGACCUUACCGAGGACAACUCCAGUGAAGCAUUCCCAGCACAUCGACCCCCCUCUGUGCCAAGGAAGCCAAAGACCAAAACCUUCCUGCUGCCAUCCGCAUCAGCCUCAGGCUCCUCACUCAGGACUGUGAUCGCUUCACCAACCACGCCUGCAAAGGAUGAUGUUGUCGGCCAGGACAGUCUGAAAAUGCAGGCUAGGCACUACAAAACCUUGAGCAACAUGUACAAUAAGCCAAAUGCAAAACCCAAUCAAAGUGAUGUUGCUCAAGUUUUAGACCUUGAGUUUAAGGCCAGACGGGCUUUCAUUGAUGCAGAUGUUACAAGGGAAGAAGACCGACCUGCAAAAAUCUUUGAGGCAUAUCCAUGCUUUAGAGAUGUUCGAAAUGCAAUGGAUGAGCUGCGGCGCAUAGUAGGUGGCACCAACAGCAGAUACAUCGAGGAAGUGAAAGGAAGAUGGGCAGACUUUUGUGCCAAGGUGCAGUUCUAUGGUGUGUGGAAGAAAGCCCUGAAACCCCCCUUUCCAUUGGAUGUCCGUGGAGUGGAGUUCACGCUUGCCCUCUUCAAUGCACUCCCAUCCCUUUUCCCCUCACCAACUUCACCACCAAAGAAGCUUGGAAAUAGCUGUGAGGCACUUCUUCAUGUCCUGAAGUCAGGCGAAGACCCUGCCCUGUACCUGGAAAAGCAUCCUCUCUCCUCCCCAGUUCUGCUUUCUGAUGGCUCAACCACCAUUGUGGCUGUGGGUAAUGUACCUGUGACCACCCUCCCUCAGGAAGAUUUCUCAGACGGGAUGUUGGUGUUAAUGGCAUAUUACUACACUUUGCACUUAAGAUAUCCAAAAUGUGUUGCAACGCUCCUGUCAGUUAUUCAAACAGAGGUAAUUGGUGACACAAUCCACGAUCAAGAUGCCACUAGUGCUUACAGGAAAGCAAUGGCUGAUUGGAAGUCUUUCAUUGAGAAGUAGCUGAGUAUUUUGUCAUGCCAGUUCUUAUUGUUAGCUGUGAGUUCUUAUUGUUAGCUGUGCCUAAUAAUAGUUUUGUGUUGCACAAGCUUAUACAGUCACUGAGUUAUUACCUCAUUUAGGCCUGUAUUUAAAAUGAUAGUUAAGGAAAAAUCCAUAACUGAGGGCUGAGAAGUGUUUUUGUUUUUUGCCCUUUUGCUUUUAAUUUCUUUUAUUUUUAUGGAAAAGUAUUCAAAUGUCUAUAGCAAACUUGACUUGCUGAUGUUAAAUAAAUGUUGUCUUAAGCCAUGUUAUUUCUGCACCAUUAUUCUAAAAAAGGACAGGCUUUAGAUUUUAAGAUGCU